ACUCAAAGGAAUAGACGGGGACCCGCACAAGCAGCGGAGCAUGUGGUUUAAUUCGAAGCAACGCGAAGAACCUUACCAAGACUUGACAUUGUAUGACAGGUAUGGAAACAUACCCUCCUUCGGGCAUACGGACAGGUGGUGCAUGGUUGUCGUCAGCUCGUGUCGUGAGAUGUUCGGUUAAGUCCGGCAACGAGCGCAACCCCUAUGAUAUGUUGCCAAUAUUUAGUUAGGAACUCAUAUCAGACUGCCGUGGAUAACACGGAGGAAGGUGGGGAUGACGUCAAAUCAUCAUGCCCCUUACGUCUUGGGCUACACACGUGCUACAAUGGGCGCUACAAAGAGCAGCAAAACUGUAAAGUCAAGCGAAUCUCAAAAAAGCGUUCUCAGUUCGGAUUGAGGGCUGAAACCCGCCCUCAUGAAGUCGGAGUUGCUAGUAAUCCCGAAUCAGAAUGUCGGGGUGAAUGCGUUCCCGGGUCUUGUACACACCGCCCGU
RNAcentral lists this ribosomal RNA (493 nucleotides) under uncultured bacterium. RNAcentral describes it as "bacterial SSU rRNA". It matches the Rfam family "Bacterial small subunit ribosomal RNA", at positions 899 to 1397 of the family's 1533-position model. The record is from RNAcentral.